RNAcentral lists this ribosomal RNA (429 nucleotides) under Chloroflexota bacterium. RNAcentral describes it as "Chloroflexi bacterium partial 16S ribosomal RNA". It matches the Rfam family "Bacterial small subunit ribosomal RNA", at positions 355 to 776 of the family's 1533-position model. RNAcentral also lists the same sequence under 1 other name. Lineage: Bacteria; Bacillati; Chloroflexota. The record is from RNAcentral.
UAGGGAAUCUUCGGCAAUGGACGAAAGUCUGACCGAGCAACGCCGCGUGAGUGAAGAAGGUUUUCGGAUCGUAAAACUCUGUUGUUAGAGAAGAACAAGGACGUUAGUAACUGAACGUCCCCUGACGGUAUCUAACCAGAAAGCCACGGCUAACUACGUGCCAGCAGCCGCGGUAAUACGUAGGUGGCAAGCGUUGUCCGGAUUUAUUGGGCGUAAAGCGAGCGCAGGCGGUUUCUUAAGUCUGAUGUGAAAGCCCCCGGCUCAACCGGGGAGGGUCAUUGGAAACUGGGAGACUUGAGUGCAGAAGAGGAGAGUGGAACUCCAUGUGUAGCGGUGAAAUGCGUAGAUAUAUGGAGGAACACCAGUGGCGAAGGCGGCUCUCUGGUCUGUAACUGACGCUGAGGCUCGAAAGCGUGGGGAGCAAACAGG